This 268-nucleotide ribosomal RNA is filed under the name uncultured bacterium. RNAcentral describes it as "partial 16S ribosomal RNA". It matches the Rfam family "Bacterial small subunit ribosomal RNA", at positions 334 to 619 of the family's 1533-position model. The record is from RNAcentral.
UAUCCCUACGGGAGGCAGCAGUGGGGAAUAUUGCACAAUGGGCGAAAGCCUGAUGCAGCAACGCCGCGUGAGCGAUGAAGGCCUUCGGGUCGUAAAGCUCUGUCCUCAAGGAAGAUAAUGACGGUACUUGAGGAGGAAGCCCCGGCUAACUACGUGCCAGCAGCCGCGGUAAUACGUAGGGGGAUAGCGUUAUCCGGAAUUACUGGGCGUAAAGGUUGCGGAGGUGGUUUCUUAAGUCAGAGGUGAAAGGCUACGGCACAACCGUAGU